RNAcentral lists this signal recognition particle RNA (70 nucleotides) under Enterococcus faecalis. Its description in RNAcentral is "signal recognition particle sRNA small type". It matches the Rfam family "Bacterial small signal recognition particle RNA", at positions 13 to 80 of the family's 97-position model. From Rfam's summary of the family: The signal recognition particle (SRP) is a universally conserved ribonucleoprotein involved in the co-translational targeting of proteins to membranes. Lineage: Bacteria; Bacillati; Bacillota; Bacilli; Lactobacillales; Enterococcaceae. The record is from RNAcentral.
GACAAUGGCGGGCUAGUGAAUUGUGUCAGAUCCGGAAGGAAGCAGCACUAAGCAAGUGCCGCCAUGUGUC